Molecule: non-coding RNA, 86 nt
Filed under: unclassified sequences
Description: freshwater-2 RNA
Rfam family: freshwater-2 RNA
About the family: Aquatic, esp. fresh water.
Source: RNAcentral
AGCUAAAUAUAUUUAGUUCGAUGAUUAUGCAGUAUCCAUUCUGCGUAGACCUAGAACGUCAAUAUAUAUAAGGAGAAACAAAAAUG